GCUGGGACUACAGGCGCCCGCCAUGAUGCCCGGCUAAUUUUUUGUAUUUUUAGCAGAGACGGGGUUUCACCCUGUUAGCCAGGAUGGUCUCAUCUCCUGACCUCGUGAUCCGCCCGCCUAGGCCUCCCAAAGUGCUGGGAUUACAGGCGUGAGCCACCGCGCCCGGCCUAAUAAAGGACAAUUUUUAAUAGCCACUGGACUAUUUAAGUGAUCUCUUCUGUCAGUUUCUUUUACCAUCAGAGGACACAGCAGCAAGGUGCCAUCCUAGAAGCAGAGAGCAGACCCUUACCAGACAACCAACCAGCUGGUGCCAUGAUCUUGGACUUCUCGGCCUCCAGAACUCAACACCACACCCUCCUGAUCACCAUAGCUUUAUGCAACAACAAGAAACAAAUUUAUUAGCUAACCUAACCACUAAUGACGCAAGAGACAAUUCUAAGGACUUUCAAAACAGCAAAGUAGGAGCAGCUGCUACCUCUAGGGAUGAGGGAUGCAAUUGUCCAAUUAUUGGUGAAAUUGUCAUUUCAUGCUAUUGGCUAUUUGAAAUUCCUCCUCUAAUAAUAAAUCACUGAAAUUGACAUCGGCCAGUCUGAAUUUCAAGAAAUUACCUGCUGAAGACAAGAGGGAUCUCUUCUUCAGAUUUGCAGUCUGGGGAAGACACAGCCUCUACUGUACUUUAGAACCUGAGAUAUGGUGGUGGAGGGAGCCCUGGGUCGAGUGGUAAGAUUCACCCUUAGGUUAGUAUUGACGUAAGGUGACGAGGAGCUGUAGACAAAAGAUUGUAACCAUAAGAACUUCAUAGUUUUUGUAUUUUCACCGAGCUUAUAUUUGGUGUGUUUUUUGUCUUUUCUUUAUGAUUAUCAAUAAAAUGCUUGAAA
Molecule: long non-coding RNA, 878 nt
Filed under: Homo sapiens (human)
Lineage: Eukaryota; Metazoa; Chordata; Mammalia; Primates; Hominidae
Description: long intergenic non-protein coding RNA 470
Source: RNAcentral